Molecule: ribosomal RNA, 655 nt
Filed under: uncultured bacterium
Lineage: Bacteria
Description: partial 16S ribosomal RNA
Rfam family: Bacterial small subunit ribosomal RNA
Source: RNAcentral
GGGGGGGUAGAAAUUUCCCAGGNGUAGCGGGUGAAAAUGCGUAGAGUUNNGGAGGAAUAUCGGNNGGNGAAAGGNGNCCCCNUGGACAAAGANUGACNNUCAGAUGNNAAAGCGUGGGUAGCAAACAGGAUUAGAUACCCUGGUAGUCCACGCCGUAAACGAUGUCUACUUGAAGGUUGGGAUCUUGAAUUCUGGCCUUCGGGAGCUAACGCGUUAAGUAGACCGCCUGGGGAGUACGGUCGCAAGAUUUAAAACUCAAAUGAAUUGACGGGGGCCCGCACAAGCGGUGGAGCAUGUGGUUUAAUUCGAUGCAACGNGAAGAACCUUACCUACUCUUGACAUCCAGAGAAGCCAGCAGAGAUGCAGGUGUGCCUUCGGGAACUCUGAGACAGGUGCUGCAUGGCUGUCGUCAGCUCGUGUUGUGAAAUGUUGGGUUAAGUCCCGCAACGAGCGCAACCCUUAUCCUUGUUUGCCAGCACGUAAUGGUGGGAACUCCAGGGAGACUGCCGGUGAUAAACCGGAGGAAGGUGGGGANGACGUCAAGUCAUCAUGGCCCUUACGAGUAGGGCUACACNCNUGNNANAAUGGUGCAUACAGAGGGAAGCAAGAGCGCGAGCUGGAGCGGAUCCCAAAAAGUGCAUCGUAGUCCGGAUUG